Pelobates cultripes (western spadefoot toad) is the source of this 205-nucleotide non-coding RNA. The record is from the annotation of a GenBank genome assembly. Lineage: Eukaryota; Metazoa; Chordata; Amphibia; Anura; Pelobatidae.
UGCUAAUAAAGUAAAAGUCCAGUAAGUACAGGGCAGGCAGGACCAGUAAUAUCGUGCCAGCCCACCUAGGGAUCCAAAAUGAUGAUCCCCUCGCUGCAGCUGGAUGAGAACGCGUCUGUCAUUGCUCGCUCUUGUGUCUAAUGAAUGAGGUGGGCUCCAGGGGGCGCAUUGAGUGAACUGUGAGCAGGGUGUCAGGGAGUGAAUG